GAUGCAGCAUGCCGCGUGUAUGAGAAGGCCUUCGGGUUGUAAAGUACUUUCAGCGGGGAGGAAGGGAGUGAGGCUAAUAACCUUAUUCAUUGACGUUACCCGCAGAAGAAGCACCGGCUAACUCCGUGCCAGCAGCCGCGGUAAUACGGAGGGUGCAAGCGUUAAUCGGAAUUACUGGGCGUAAAGCGCACGCAGGCGGUCUGUCAAGUCGGAUGUGAAAUCCCCGGGCUCAACCCGGGAACUGCAUUCGAAACUGGCAGGCUAGAGUCUCGUAGAGGGGGGUAGAAUUCCAGGUGUAGCGGUGAAAUGCGUAGAGAUCUGGAGGAAUACCGGUGGCGAAGGCGGCCCCCUGGACGAAGACUGACGCUCAGGUGCGAAAGCGUGGGGAGCAAACA
This 395-nucleotide ribosomal RNA is filed under the name Enterobacter hormaechei. RNAcentral describes it as "bacterial SSU rRNA". It matches the Rfam family "Bacterial small subunit ribosomal RNA", at positions 385 to 774 of the family's 1533-position model. Lineage: Bacteria; Pseudomonadati; Pseudomonadota; Gammaproteobacteria; Enterobacterales; Enterobacteriaceae. The record is from RNAcentral.